UACGUAGGGCGCGAGCGUUGUCCGGAAUUAUUGGGCGUAAAGAGCUCGUAGGCGGCCUGUUGCGUCCGCUGUGAAAUCCCAGGGCUUAACCCUGGGCGUGCAGUGGAUACGGGCAGGCUGGAGGCAGGCAGGGGAGAACGGAAUUCCCGGUGUAGCGGUGAAAUGCGCAGAUAUCGGGAGGAACACCGGUGGCGAAGGCGGUGCUCUGGGCCGGUGCUGACGCUGAGGAGCGAAAGCGUGGGGAGCGAACAGG
Molecule: ribosomal RNA, 253 nt
Filed under: uncultured bacterium
Lineage: Bacteria
Description: partial 16S ribosomal RNA
Rfam family: Bacterial small subunit ribosomal RNA
Source: RNAcentral